RNAcentral lists this ribosomal RNA (495 nucleotides) under Triticum aestivum (bread wheat). RNAcentral describes it as "partial small subunit ribosomal RNA". The record is from RNAcentral. Lineage: Eukaryota; Viridiplantae; Streptophyta; Magnoliopsida; Poales; Poaceae.
AUGUUCCCGACCAAGGCUCUAGGGCCUGACGGUUUCCCUACACGCUUUUUUCAACAGCACAGGGAGUUUUGUGGUGAUGAGGUUACUGCUAUGGUGCUCCGAGUUCUAAACGGAGAGGAUUCCCCGAAGGAGAUUAACAAAACGUUCAUUGUUUUAUUUCCCAAGAUUGCGAGCCCAAAAAAUUUAGCACAGUUUCGACCGAUAAGCCUUUGCAAUGUGAUCUAUAAGAUUGCAUCCAAGGCAUUGGCAAAUCGGCUCAAGCUUAUUCUCCCCCAUGUCAUCUCUGAAGAACAGUCAGCAUUUGUACCAGGACGUCUUAUUACGGACAACUUCAUUUCAGCCUACGAAUGUCUCCACUAUAUGAAAACAAGGAAGCUGAAGGGCAACACGUACUGUGCCUUAAAACUCGAUAUGAUGAAGGCUUAUGACAGGCUCGAAUGGAACUAUUUGGAGAGAGUUAUGCUCAAACUGGGAAUCAACCCACGUUUCACAUAG